AGUGAACGCUGGCGGUAGGCCUAACACAUGCCAGUCGAACGGCAGCACAGUAAGAGCUUGCUCUUACGGGUGGCGAGUGGCGGACGGGUGAGGAAUACAUCGGAAUCUACUUUUUCGUGGGGGAUAACGUAGGGAAACUUACGCUAAUACCGCAUACGACCUACGGGUGAAAGCAGGGGAUCUUCGGACCUUGCGCGAUUGAAUGAGCCGAUGUCGGAUUAGCUAGUUGGCGGGGUAAAGGCCCACCAAGGCGACGAUCCGUAGCUGGUCUGAGAGGAUGAUCAGCCACACUGGAACUGAGACACGGGCCAGACUCCUACGGGAGGCAGCAGUGGGGAAUAUUGGACAAUGGGCGCAAGCCUGAUCCAGCCAUACCGCGUGGGUGAAGAAGGCCUUCGGGUUGUAAAGCCCUUUUGUUGGGAAAGAAAAGCAGCAGGUUAAUACCCCGCUGUUCUGACGGUACCCAAAGAAUAAGCACCGGCUAACUUCGU
RNAcentral lists this ribosomal RNA (491 nucleotides) under uncultured bacterium. RNAcentral describes it as "partial 16S ribosomal RNA". It matches the Rfam family "Bacterial small subunit ribosomal RNA", at positions 29 to 506 of the family's 1533-position model. The record is from RNAcentral.